AUUAGGUAUGCAAAUAGAUUUGGGUUGGUGAAGCUUUCGUACCGAUUCGUUCGGAAUGGUGUAGUACGUAGAAACUAAAAAGAUUGAAAAAUAUAAAUUAUUCUUAAAUCCGCCAAAAAAAUAGAGCGAAAGACGAGGGACCCUUUUUUUUUCUCUUUUGAUCUGUUUAAUCUGUUCGAUUCAUUAAAGAUCUGUCAAAAUUAACCUCACUUAUAUCCUAAUCUGUCCAAAACGGAGUAAUAAGUAAAGAUAAAAAAAGAUAAAAAUUAAUCCUUUUCAAAUCUAUCCCGAACCAAUAAAAAAUGGAGUAGAAAUUAUCUGGCCCUUUGCAUCCCUACUUACAAUGCAUAUCCCUAGCUGGGAUGGAAAGAAUUGAAAGAAGAUUAAAAAAAAAAAAAAAAAUACAAAGCAGAAGAGAAAUAAUUUAAGAUAGCAAAAAUAGAAAAAAGCUAAAGAUAAAACUUAAAAGAAGAUAAUAAAUCUCAUUUUAUCUACUUCUAAAAAUGGAGAAACAUUGAAAAAGUAUUCGAAGUCGCAAGUUCGAAUUCUAAUUGAUUCAUAUUUUCAGCUAAGUUUAUUUCUGAAUGAAAUAAACGAAACAGAUAGCGUGUUAUCUAUUUUUUUU
RNAcentral lists this long non-coding RNA (625 nucleotides) under Ananas comosus (pineapple). RNAcentral describes it as "long non-coding RNA (ACOM_LNC008471)". The record is from RNAcentral. Lineage: Eukaryota; Viridiplantae; Streptophyta; Magnoliopsida; Poales; Bromeliaceae.